This 301-nucleotide ribosomal RNA is filed under the name uncultured bacterium. RNAcentral's name for it is "partial 16S ribosomal RNA". It matches the Rfam family "Bacterial small subunit ribosomal RNA", at positions 509 to 807 of the family's 1533-position model. The record is from RNAcentral.
CAGUAGCCGCGGUAAUACGUAGGUGGCAAGCGUUGUCCGGAAUUAUUGGGCGUAAAGAGCUCGCAGGCGGUUUCUUAAGUCUGAUGUGAAAGCCCCCGGCUCAACCGGGGAGGGUCAUUGGAAACUGGGAAACUUGAGUGCAGAAGAGGAGAGUGGAAUUCCACGUGUAGCGGUGAAAUGCGUAGAGAUGUGGAGGAACACCAGUGGCGAAGGCGACUCUCUGGUCUGUAACUGACGCUGAGGAGCGAAAGCGUGGGGAGCGAACAGGAUUAGAUACCCCAGUAGUCCCUGUCUCUUAUAC